UACGGAGGGUGCAAGCGUUAUCCGGAUUCACUGGGUUUAAAGGGUGCGUAGGUGGCUUGGUAAGUCAGUGGUGAAAUCUCCGGGCUUAACCCGGAAACUGCCAGUGAUACUAUCAGUCUUGAAUACUGUGGAGGUUAGCGGAAUAUGUCAUGUAGCGGUGAAAUGCUUAGAUAUGACAUAGAACACCAAUUGCGAAGGCAGCAGGCUACACAAUUAUUGACACUGAGGCGCGAAAGCGUGGGGAUCAAACAGG
RNAcentral lists this ribosomal RNA (253 nucleotides) under uncultured bacterium. RNAcentral describes it as "partial 16S ribosomal RNA". It matches the Rfam family "Bacterial small subunit ribosomal RNA", at positions 524 to 776 of the family's 1533-position model. The record is from RNAcentral.